Molecule: ribosomal RNA, 421 nt
Filed under: Verrucomicrobiota bacterium
Lineage: Bacteria; Pseudomonadati; Verrucomicrobiota
Description: Verrucomicrobia bacterium partial 16S ribosomal RNA
Rfam family: Bacterial small subunit ribosomal RNA
Source: RNAcentral
UGGGGAAUUUUGCACAAUGGGCGCAAGCCUGAUGCAGCGACGCCGCGUGAGGGAUGAAGGCCUUCGGGUUGUAAACCUUUUUCGCUCAUGGUCAAGCCGCAGCUUUGGGUUGUGGUGAGGGUAGUGGGUAAAGAAGCGCCGGCUAAUUACGUGCCAGCAGCCGCGGUAAUACGUAAGGUCCGAGCGUUGUCCGGAAUCAUUGGGCGUAAAGGGUACGUAGGCGGAUAAGCAAGUUAGAAGUGAAAUCCUAUAGCUCAACUAUAGUAAGCUUUUAAAACUGCUCAUCUUGAGGUAUGGAAGGGAAAGUGGAAUUCCUAGUGUAGCGGUGAAAUGCGCAGAUAUUAGGAGGAAUACCGGUGGCGAAGGCGACUUUCUGGCCAUAAACUGACGCUGAGGUACGAAAGCGUGGGUAGCAAACAGG